GCCUUCGUGGUGUAGUGGUCAGCACGCUGGGCGCCUAUUCCGAAGGGCCGUGGUUCGACUCCCGGCGAAGGCG
Molecule: transfer RNA, 73 nt
Filed under: Stegodyphus mimosarum
Lineage: Eukaryota; Metazoa; Arthropoda; Arachnida; Araneae; Eresidae
Rfam family: tRNA
About the family: Transfer RNA (tRNA) molecules are approximately 80 nucleotides in length.
Source: Rfam by way of RNAcentral